This 211-nucleotide ribosomal RNA is filed under the name Chaetothyriales sp. RNAcentral describes it as "partial large subunit ribosomal RNA". Lineage: Eukaryota; Fungi; Ascomycota; Eurotiomycetes; Chaetothyriales. The record is from RNAcentral.
AAGCGUUUACAACCAGACUUGUACACGGCGGCUCCCCCAACCUUCUGGCUGGGUUAUUCUGUCGUGCCCAGGCCAACAUCGGUUUCGAUGGCCGGUUAAAGGCUCUAGGAAUGUAUCUUCUCCCGGGAAGACUUAUAGCCUGGGGUGUCAUAUGGCCUACCGGGACCGAGGGACGCGCUCCGGCUCGGAUGUUGGCGUAAUGGUUGUCAAC